AAUCACGGUUUCUCGCACGAAUUACACCUGUGCAUGGGAAACGCAGUCAUUCACGAGUCUGUAAUACUGUAAAAAUAACACAAUUAAUUUUGGAACAGUGAGCCUCAGAGGAGGUUGGUGACACCUCAAUUGGGGAUGACGGACUCGUGGUAAUGGCUGGAGCGGAAUCGUGGAAUGUUAUCAAGUACGCCGAACACAUGGUGUCCAUGCCUUUUCCAUGUGUUUGAUGCCAUUCCAUUUGUUCUAUCCAUUAUUAUGAGCCGUCCUCCCCUCGGCAGCCUCCGUUACCAUUGCCAAGCGUAAAGAAUCUACAGACACACAAUUGAAGACCGAUACAAAGAAGCUGAAGCAGGUUGCAAAAUACAUAGGUGGCGGACUAAGAGCCAAAAAAGACCAAGGUUUGGGGAAAUGUUCAUGCUGAACCCAGAUCUUCCCUGUGAGGAGAGGCUUGGACCACAGGCCAUGCUGGAGAGGAGGCUGGGCAGCCUCACUGCUAAAGACCACCAGGAAGUGACAUGUAUCCUGCACACUGAAGGCACUUUGCAGAAACUUUUGUGCAUGUUCGUCUGUUGCAUUUCUUUUUCUCACUGCGAAUGGAGUAUGUUUGUGAGGGAGGACCAUAUUAUUUUGAACAACUUGGGCUCUUAUGCUGUUUCUGUUGGUGCUUAGGUUGUUGCAGCUCUUGUCGACUGCUGCUCUCUCUGCAGCCCCUGUCACUGAAGCCUCCCCAUCAGCCAAGGGUACAGCCUGACUGAAGGCUUUUGGGUUGUUCUACGAAAUGAGUGCAUUUUGCAUCCCUUUUGAUAUUUUUAAGUAGAAAUUGUGCACCAAUAUUGGAUUUUAAAAGCAUUUUAUAUUACAUGAAGUGCCCUUUAAUAUAGACCACAUGGAGUAUUCAAUAAAUCAGAUUUUUUACAUGAAUAAAGACUUGCUAAA
Molecule: long non-coding RNA, 936 nt
Organism: Salvelinus namaycush (lake trout)
Lineage: Eukaryota; Metazoa; Chordata; Actinopteri; Salmoniformes; Salmonidae
Exons: 3
Source: RefSeq, a predicted model, not a curated record